CGCUUUGUGCAGUGGCAGUAUUGCAGCCAGAGAGGUUUAUCCGAGGCGCGAUUAUUGCUAAUUGAAAACUUUUCCCAAUAUCCCUCCAUGACGACUUGAAAUACAGUCAGCAUUGGCAAUUUUUGACAGUCUCUAUGGAGA
Erinaceus europaeus (western European hedgehog) is the source of this 141-nucleotide small nuclear RNA. Its record names the gene U4. It matches the Rfam family "U4 spliceosomal RNA". From Rfam's summary of the family: U4 small nuclear RNA (U4 snRNA) is a component of the major U2-dependent spliceosome. The structure of U4 snRNA from yeast and human has been reported. U4 snRNA presents a k-turn RNA motif in the 5p-SL related to recognition of Snu13 protein. The record is from Ensembl. Lineage: Eukaryota; Metazoa; Chordata; Mammalia; Eulipotyphla; Erinaceidae.